UUUAGCGGAAGUUUUCGGAUGGAAGCUAGAUUGACUGAGUGGCGGACGGGUGAGUAACACGUGGGUAACCUGCCUCACACUGGGGGACAACAGUUAGAAAUGACUGCUAAUACCGCAUAAGCGCACAGUUCCGCAUGGAACGGUGUGAAAAACUCCGGUGGUGUGAGAUGGACCCGCGUCUGAUUAGCCAGUUGGCGGGGUAACGGCCCACCAAAGCGACGAUCAGUAGCCGGCCUGAGAGGGUGAACGGCCACAUUGGGACUGAGACACGGCCCAAACUCC
This 282-nucleotide ribosomal RNA is filed under the name uncultured Eubacteriales bacterium. RNAcentral's name for it is "uncultured Clostridiales bacterium partial 16S ribosomal RNA". It matches the Rfam family "Bacterial small subunit ribosomal RNA", at positions 62 to 339 of the family's 1533-position model. The record is from RNAcentral. Lineage: Bacteria; Bacillati; Bacillota; Clostridia; Eubacteriales.